This 484-nucleotide ribosomal RNA is filed under the name uncultured bacterium. RNAcentral's name for it is "partial 16S ribosomal RNA". It matches the Rfam family "Bacterial small subunit ribosomal RNA", at positions 30 to 507 of the family's 1533-position model. The record is from RNAcentral.
AUUGAACGCUGGCGGCAGGCCUAACACAUGCAAGUCGAGCGGAUGAAGGGAGCUUGCUCCUGGAUUCAGCGGCGGACGGGUGAGUAAUGCCUAGGAAUCUGCCUGGUAGUGGGGGAUAAUGUCCGGAAACGGGCGCUAAUACCGCAUACGGCCUGAGGGAGAAAGUGGGGGAUCUUCGGACCUCACGCUAUCAGAUGAGCCUAGGUCGGAUUAGCUAGUUGGUGGGGUAAAGGCCUACCAAGGCGACGAUCCGUAACUGGUCUGAGAGGAUGAUCAGUCACACUGGAACUGAGACACGGUCCAGACUCCUACGGGAGGCAGCAGUGGGGAAUAUUGGACAAUGGGCGAAAGCCUGAUCCAGCCAUGUCGCGUGUGUGAAGAAGGUCUUCGGAUUGUAAAGCACUUUAAGUUGGGAGGAAGGGCAGUAAGUUAAUACCUUGCUGUUUUGACGUUACCAACAGAAUAAGCACCGGCUAACUUCGUG